CUGUCUCGUGCGAGCCAACGUCGGUUCGUCGACGACGUUCGGCUGUCGCGUCAGGUGGCUCGUGACUUCGGUCGGGAGCGUUAUAGUCGCGUCAGCAAGGGCGUCGAGACGGACCGAGGAGACGAAAUGUCGGUGGCGAACCGCGCUCGCUUUCGAGCGGGCUAGAGUCGUUCGACGCGCGUCGUGCGUCGCGUCUUGGACUGCGUGCAGUGCUCGAUGCGAUCGCGCGGGCGCGUCGGAUCGUCGUCAUAAGCGGUUGUCGGUCGUUGGCGGUGAAAUGGUCUCAUCCGACCCGUCUUGAAACACGGACCAAGGAGUCUAACAUGUGUGCGAGUCGUGGGGUGGCAAACCCCGUGGCGCAAUGAAAGUGAGUUUGGAGACGAGAAGCGGCGUCGCGACGUCGUUGCAUCGUCGGCCGACCUGUCCUGAUUUCAGAAAGGUUUGAGUAGGAGCACGCCUGUUGGGACCCGAAAGAUGGUGAACUAUGCCUGAAUAGGGUGAAGCCAGAGGAAACUCUGGUGGAGGCUCGUAGCGAUUCUGACGUGCAAAUCGAUCGUCCAAUUUGGGUAUAGGGGCGAAAGACUAAUCGA
RNAcentral lists this ribosomal RNA (590 nucleotides) under Oscarella sp. 7 JV-2020. Its description in RNAcentral is "partial large subunit ribosomal RNA". It matches the Rfam family "Eukaryotic large subunit ribosomal RNA", at positions 597 to 938 of the family's 3401-position model. Lineage: Eukaryota; Metazoa; Porifera; Homoscleromorpha; Homosclerophorida; Oscarellidae. The record is from RNAcentral.